GAUGAACGCUGGCGGCGUGCCUAAUACAUGCAAGUCGAGCGAACAGAUAAGGAGCUUGCUCCUUUGACGUUAGCGGCGGACGGGUGAGUAACACGUGGGUAGCCUGCCUAUAAGACUGGAAUAACUCCGGGAAACCGGGGCUAAUGCCGGAUAACAUUUAGAACCGCAUGGUUCUAAAGUGAAAGAUGGUUUUGCUAUCACUUAUAGAUGGACCCGCGCCGUAUUAGCUAGUUGGUAAGGUAACGGCUUACCAAGGCAACGAUACGUAGCCGACCUGAGAGGGUGAUCGGCCACACUGGAACUGAGACACGGUCCAGACUCCUACGGGAGGCAGCAGUAGGGAAUCUUCCGCAAUGGGCGAAAGCCUGACGGAGCAACGCCGCGUGAGUGAUGAAGGUCUUCGGAUCGUAAAACUCUGUUAUUAGGGAAGAACAAAUGUGUAAGUAACUGUGCACGUCUUGACGGUACCUAAUCAGAAAGCCACGGCUAACUACGUG
Molecule: ribosomal RNA, 497 nt
Filed under: uncultured bacterium
Lineage: Bacteria
Description: partial 16S ribosomal RNA
Rfam family: Bacterial small subunit ribosomal RNA
Source: RNAcentral